Molecule: small nuclear RNA, 333 nt
Filed under: Sus scrofa (pig)
Lineage: Eukaryota; Metazoa; Chordata; Mammalia; Artiodactyla; Suidae
Description: 7SK RNA (ENSSSCG00070022391.1)
Rfam family: 7SK RNA
About the family: 7SK was discovered as an abundant small nuclear RNA in the mid-70s but a possible function has only recently been suggested. Two independent studies have found that 7SK RNA binds the CDK9/cyclin T complex (known as elongation factor P-TEFb).
Source: RNAcentral
AGUUAGGUAGGGGAUUUGGCUGUGACAUCUCUCAUUCCACUGACCUCCAUGGUUGACUCGGCUGGUCUGAUAGCUAGGCUAAUGUCCCCUUCCUGCUUCAGUACUGCAUGUAUGUUCCCUGCCAUAGCUGCAGCAUGCUGUUGAAGAGAACAGGUUUCUUGAUGGAAGAUCAUUCCUUGGUCAUUCUUUAAGGUAUACCAGUAGCUAUGCUCCCCUGCUAGAACUCCACACACAAGCUCUAUAAGAUCCACUUGUAGGAGAAUUUAAGGUAGUCAAGCUUCUCAACUCCCAACAUAGCCAAAUGAGGCACUUCUUGCCGCCAUGUCUUUCUUU